Molecule: ribosomal RNA, 274 nt
Filed under: uncultured bacterium
Lineage: Bacteria
Description: partial 16S ribosomal RNA
Rfam family: Bacterial small subunit ribosomal RNA
Source: RNAcentral
AUACGAAGGGGGCUAGCGUUGUUCGGAAUUACUGGGCGUAAAGCGCGCGUAGGCGGAUUGAUCAGUCAGGGGUGAAAUCCCGAGGCUUAACCUCGGAACUGCCUUUGAUACUGUCAAUCUUGAGUUCGAGAGAGGUGAGUGGAAUUCCUAGUGUAGAGGUGAAAUUCGUAGAUAUUAGGAAGAACACCAGUGGCGAAGGCGGCUCACUGGCUCGAUACUGACGCUGAGGUGCGAAAGCGUGGGGAGCAAACAGGAUUAGAAACCCCAGUAGUCC